Molecule: unclassified non-coding RNA, 154 nt
Filed under: uncultured Sordariomycetes
Lineage: Eukaryota; Fungi; Ascomycota; Sordariomycetes
Description: sequence contains ITS2
Source: RNAcentral
CAACCCUCAAGCCCCGCUUGGUGUUGGGGUCCUACGGCUGCCGUAGGCCCUGAAAGCUAGUGGCGGGCUCGCUAUAACUCCGAGCGUAGUAGUAAAAUAUCUCGCUAGGGAGGUGUCGCGGGUUCCGGCCGUGAAAGCCCCAUCUUUUACACAA